GAUGAACGCUGGCGGCGUGCCUAAUACAUGCAAGUCGAGCGAACGGACGAGAAGCUUGCUUCUCUGAUGUUAGCGGCGGACGGGUGAGUAACACGUGGAUAACCUACCUAUAAGACUGGGAUAACUUCGGGAAACCGGAGCUAAUACCGGAUGAUAUUUUGAACCGCAUGGUUCAAAAGUGAAAGACGGUCUUGCUGUCACUUAUAGAUGGAUCCGCGCUGCAUUAGCUAGUUGGUAAGGUAACGGCUUACCAAGGCAACGAUGCAUAGCCGACCUGAGAGGGUGAUCGGCCACACUGGAACUGAGACACGGUCCAGACUCCUACGGGAGGCAGCAGUAGGGAAUCUUCCGCAAUGGGCGAAAGCCUGACGGAGCAACGCCGCGUGAGUGAUGAAGGUCUUCGGAUCGUAAAACUCUGUUAUUAGGGAAGAACAUAUGUGUAAGUAACUGUGCACAUCUUGACGGUACCUAAUCAGAAAGCCACGGCUAACUACGCGCCAGCAGCCGCGGUAAUACGUAGGUGGCAAGCGUUAUCCGGAAUUAUUGGGCGUAAAGCGCGCGUAGGCGGUUUUUUAAGUCUGAUGUGAAAGCCCACGGCUCAACCGUGGAGGGUCAUUGGAAACUGGAAAACUUGAGUGCAGAAGAGGAAAGUGGAAUUCCAUGUGUAGCGGUGAAAUGCGCAGAGAUAUGGAGGAACACCAGUGGCGAAGGCGACUUUCUGGUCUGUAACUGACGCUGAUGUGCGAAAGCGUGGGGAUCAAACAGGAUUAGAUACCCUGGCAGUCCACGCCGUAAACGAUGAGUGCUAAGUGUUAGGGGGUUUCCGCCCCUUAGUGCUGCAGCUAACGCAUUAAGCACUCCGCCUGGGGAGUAUGACCGCAAGGUUGAAACUCAAAGGAAUUGACGGGGACCCGCACAAGCGGUGGAGCAUGUGGUUUAAUUCGAAGCAACGCGAAGAACCUUACCAAAUCUUGACAUCCUUUGACAACUCUAGAGAUAGAGCCUUCCCCUUCGGGGGACAAAGUGACAGGUGGUGCAUGGUUGUCGUCAGCUCGUGUCGUGAGAUGUUGGGUUAAGUCCCGCAACGAGCGCAACCCUUAAGCUUAGUUGCCAUCAUUAAGUUGGGCACUCUAAGUUGACUGCCGGUGACAAACCGGAGGAAGGUGGAGGUGACGUCAAAUCAUCAUGCCCCUUAUGAUUUGGGCUACACACGUGCUACAAUGGACAAUACAAAGGGCAGCGAAACCGCGAGGUCAAGCAAAUCCCAUAAAGUUGUUCUCAGUUCGGAUUGUAGUCUGCAACUCGACUACAUGAAGCUGGAAUCGCUAGUAAUCGUAGAUCAGCAUGCUACGGUGAAUACGUUCCCGGGUCU
This 1372-nucleotide ribosomal RNA is filed under the name uncultured bacterium. RNAcentral describes it as "bacterial SSU rRNA". It matches the Rfam family "Bacterial small subunit ribosomal RNA", at positions 28 to 1381 of the family's 1533-position model. The record is from RNAcentral.